RNAcentral lists this ribosomal RNA (1051 nucleotides) under uncultured archaeon. RNAcentral describes it as "bacterial SSU rRNA". It matches the Rfam family "Archaeal small subunit ribosomal RNA", at positions 1 to 1058 of the family's 1478-position model. The record is from RNAcentral.
AAUCCGGUUGAUCCUGCCGGACCUGACUGCUAUCGGAAUGAUACUAAGCCAUGCGAGUCAUUGUAGCAAUACAAGGCAGACGGCUCAGUAACGCGUAGUCAAUCUACCCUAUGGACGGGGAUAACCUCGGGAAACUGAGAAUAAUACCCGAUAGAACAUUAUGCCUGGAAUGGUUUAUGUUUCAAAUGAUUUAUCGCCAUAGGAUGGGACUGCGGCCUAUCAAUUUGUUGGUGAGGUAAUGGCCCACCAAGACUAUUACAGGUACGGGCUCUGAGAGGAGUAGCCCGGAGAUGGGUACUGAGACACGGACCCAGGCCCUAUGGGGCGCAGCAGGCGAGAAAACUUUGCAAUGUGCGAAAGCACGACAAGGUUAAUCCGAGUGGUUUCUGCUAAAGAAACCUUUUGCCAGUCCUAGAAACACUGGUGAAUAAGGGGUGGGCAAGUUCUGGUGUCAGCCGCCGCGGUAAAACCAGCACCUCAAGUGGUCAGGAUGAUUAUUGGGCCUAAAGCAUCCGUAGCUCGUUUUGUAAGUUUUCGGUUAAAUCCAUGCGCUUAACGUAUGGGCUGCCGGUAAUACUGCAUAACUAGGAAGUGGGAGAGGUAGACGGUACUCGGUAGGAAGGGGUAAAAUCCUUUGAUCUAUUGAUGACCACCUGUGGCGAAGGCGGUCUACCAGAACACGUUCGACGGUGAGGGAUGAAAGCUGGGGGAGCAAACCGGAUUAGAUACCCGGGUAGUCCCAGCUGUAAACUAUGCAAACUCAGUGAUGCAUUGGCUUGUGGCCAAUGCAGUGCUGCAGGGAAGCCGUUAAGUUUGCCGCCUGGGAAGUACGUACGCAAGUAUGAAACUUAAAGGAAUUGGCGGGGGAGCACCACAAGGGGUGAAGCCUGCGGUUCAAUUGGAGUCAACGCCAGAAAUCUUACCCGGAGAGACAGCAGAAUGAAGGUCAAGCUGAAGACUUUACCAGACAAGCUGAGAGGUGGUGCAUGGCCGUCGCCAGCUCGUGCCGUGAGAUGUCCUGUUAAGUCAGGUAACGAGCGAGACCCCUGCC